GGAGAGGAGGGAGUGGAGCACGUUUUAUGUUGCUUGUUUUGCCGUGUUUGUCUUUUCGGACAACAAGGCUCAGGCUUUUGUGAACGCAUCCCAGGAUUACCCGAAUACAUCCCAGGCAAACCAGGCGAAGAAGUCGGCCUUUCGGCCACCAAGGCACAAACCAGGUACAAGACGACGAACGUUUUUAUAGUGUGAAGUUUAUUACACGAGCACAACUCAUCAGUUCGCUUUGCUCCUUGUAAUCAUUCCAUCGGUAAUCGCACCUCAUUCAACUCACUGUGCGCGUACCAUGUAUCAUCAGCCAAGUCCCGUCGCAACAUAGGCUGCAGCACCCCCACCCCCACCCACAACACAGUUAGACAAUUCUUCAGGUGGGCAAGCCUACAUACGCGUAGCGUGAGGAUUUGACACUGCUGAUGUGGUGACGCCAGGCCCAUCUGAGCAUCCCAGGUUACGACUUUGCUGUAUUACAGCUAAGCUUGGAGACUCAGUCAGAAAGCUUUGAAGGACAUCACCUAGAGGACAGGAUCUGACAGUAUGUACCACGUGAACAUCUGAAAGGCUUUGGGCCUGUUUCCCUUGGCUUUUGGUGCCACCUUUUAGUGCCUCUUUCCCCUAUAAGGAAAAAUAUGGCCCAUGGAAACCAUGGCCUUUUAAUGAUUUUUAGUGCCUACUAGGGACGGCCCUUUACUGAAGUACUAAAAGUACAACANNNNNNNNNNNNNNNNNNNNNNNNNNNNNNNNNNNNNNNNNNNNNNNNNNCCAGCGUAGCCAUCCGAUGUACGACCCGUACUAUUGUACGGCAAGGUAAAAAGUCGGUGGUCGGUGACCAGCAUGAAGGUAUCUUGUGCGGUCUCAAGGUACGGCCGCCACUCUUGUAGGGCAUUGAGUACACAGAAGCUCUUGCUCUGUGGUAGUGUAAUUGACAUCGGCAGGUGUGAACUUUUGGCUGGUGUGGGCGACGGGGUGGCCAUCCUGUAGCAGUGCACCGCCUGUGCCGUAGAUGCUGGCGUCAGUUACGACUUUGAAGGGUUUGGUAAAGUCAGGAAGGUGCAACAACGGGCGUUGAUGAGGGCGUAUUUAAUGCCGUCGAAAGCCUGCUGGUGCAAGUUCUUCCUUCCGUCAGCCGUUUGCUGCCGGUGAGGGCCGUGAGUGGAGUCGCUAGCGAUGAGUACCCUUGGGUGAACUUGCGGAAGUAGCUCACAAGGCCCAGGAAGCCGCACAGCGCCGUCCUGUCUUUUGGGACGGGGUCGUUCUUAACGGCCUCAAUUUUUCAGGGAUCCACCUCAGUCUAUACUGGCCUACGAAGUGGCCUAAGAAGUUGACUUCGGGCUUGUUCAGCUCGCACUUUUCGCGCGUUGCACCUUAACACGCCCCUUUGCGGGAUUCGAGUACGGCACGCAUGUGCUCGAGGUGGCUGGUCGGAUCUUUGCUGAAGAUGAGGAUAUCAUCUAGGUUGACAACGCAGUAAGCGUCGAUGAGCACGGUGUUUAUGACCUUUUGAAAGGUCGCCGGUGCAUUAGUCAACCCGAAGCACAGCACUUUGUACUGGAACGUUCCGAAGGGUGUCAUGAGGCUGGUUUUUGGGAUGUCCUCCUCCGUGAUGCGAAUUUGAUGGUAGCCGCUUUGCAGGACGAGGGAUGGGAAGAUACUCGCGCUCUGGAGUGUGUUGAAGAGGUUGGUGAUGUUCGGAAGUGGAUACCGGUUUUUAUGGUGAUUUUGUUAAAUAGAGUGCUAAAGUCAAGGCACAUGAGAAGCGAGCCGUCCUUCUUUUGUGCGAAGAGGACGUGCGCACCGAAUGGUGACUUCGAUUCUUCGAUAAAGCCUUUGGCCAGCAAGUCAGAGAGCUGCUUUUUCAACUUCGUUUGUCCAGUCGUGAAAGCCGGUNNNNNNNNNNNNNNNNNNNNNNNNNNNNNNNNNNNNNNNNNNNNNNNNNNUCUGCAGCGGAUGUGAGCGGCCAUGGCGUGUCACCAUGCAGGUGCCCUGGCCAAAGUCGAGUACUGCACCGUGUUCACGCAUCCAGCGGCUACCAAGCAUGAGAUCCAUGCCUUCGACUAGCUUAGGCAUGACCUGCGCUACGAUUUUGCAGCGGAACCCUUGGGUACGGAUCGACAGGUGUACCUGAUCUUGCUUGCAGACGCUGUNUGCGCCGUCUCAGCACGCAAGAUGCUACAUGGCUUGCGUGGGGCUGUAAAAUUAGUUUUUGCAUGAGUGUGGCGAGAGAUGAGAGAACAUGUGAAGCGCCUGAGUCAACUAAGGUGCUGGCUUUGGUGCUAGCCAAGUUGCACGGUAAUGGCAGCACGGAGCUGUCAGUAAGAGGUUCUAGUGCAGAACACUUAGCAGUUUCCUGACAGGUGUCGAGACAAGCGUGGAACUCACCAGUGCAGAAUGGGUAGAGGUGGGAGAGGAGGGAGAGGAGGGAGAGGAGGGAGUGGAGCACGUUUUAUGUUGCUUGUUUUGCCGUGUUUGUCUUUUCGGACAACAAGGCUCAGGCUUUUGUGAACGCAUCCCAGGAUUACCCGAAUACAUCCCAGGCAAACCAGGCGAAGAAGUCGGCCUUUCGGCCACCAAGGCACAAACCAGGUACAAGACGACGAACGUUUUUAUAGUGUGAAGUUAUUACACGAGCACAACUCAUCAGUUCGCUUUGCUCCUUGUAAUCAUUCCAUCGGUAAUCGCACCUCAUUCAACUCACUGUGCGCGUACCAUGUAUCAUCAGCCAAGUCCCGUCGCAACAUAGGCUGCAGCACCCCCACCCCCACCCACAACACAGUUAGACAAUUCUUCAGGUGGGCAAGCCUACAUACGCGUAGCGUGAGGAUUUGACACUGCUGAUGUGGUGACGCCAGGCCCAUCUGAGCAUCCCAGGUUACGACUUUGCUGUAUUACAGCUAAGCUUGGAGACUCAGUGUGAUGUUUUGCAGUUCGUUAGCGUCAAAAAGCUUUGAAGGACAUCAUCUAGAGGACAGGAUCUGACAGUAUGUACCACGUGAACAUCUGAAAGGCUUUGGGCCUGUUACCCUUGGCUUUUGGUGCCACCUUUUAGUGCCUCUUUCCCCUAAAAGGAAAAAUAAGGUCCAUGGAAACCAUGGCCUUUUAAUGAUUUUUGGUGGCCUACUAGGGACGGCCCUUUACUGAAGUACUAAAAGUACAACAGGUUUUCG
Molecule: long non-coding RNA, 3164 nt
Filed under: Volvox carteri
Lineage: Eukaryota; Viridiplantae; Chlorophyta; Chlorophyceae; Chlamydomonadales; Volvocaceae
Description: long non-coding RNA (VCAR_LNC002938)
Source: RNAcentral